Molecule: ribosomal RNA, 237 nt
Filed under: Enterococcus faecium
Lineage: Bacteria; Bacillati; Bacillota; Bacilli; Lactobacillales; Enterococcaceae
Also listed under: 2 other names
Description: partial 16S ribosomal RNA
Rfam family: Bacterial small subunit ribosomal RNA
Source: RNAcentral
UUUUAUGAGAGUUUGAUCCUGGCUCAGGACGAACGCUGGCGGCGUGCCUAAUACAUGCAAGUCGAACGCUUCUUUUUCCACCGGAGCUUGCUCCACCGGAAAAAGAGGAGUGGCGAACGGGUGAGUAACACGUGGGUAACCUGCCCAUCAGAAGGGGAUAACACUUGGAAACAGGUGCUAAUACCGUAUAACAAUCGAAACCGCAUGGUUUUGAUUUGAAAGGCGCUUUCGGGUGUC